ACAAGCUGUGGGAGCACAUUACUUGUGUGACCGCGUACUUUUUGUAGAACGGGCCAACGAGUUACGUUAAGUAGCAAGGUUAAGCACUUAAGGUGUGGAGCCGUAGCGAAAGCGAGUCUUAAAUGGGCGAUUAAGUUACUUGGCGUAGACCCGAAACCGGGCGACCUAUCCAUGAGCAGGUUGAAGCGAAAGUAAAAUUUCGUGGAGGACCGAACCCACGAGCGUUGAAAAGCUCGGGGAUGACUUGUGGAUAGCGGAGAAAUUCCAAUCGAGCCCGGCGAUAGCUGGUUCUCCCCGAAAUAGCUUUAGGGCUAGCCUCAAGCGUAGAGAAACGGAGGUAGAGCACUGAAUGUCCUAGGGGGUAUUGCACUUACCGAAGACUAUCAAACUCCGAAUGCCGUUUUCUUUUACUUGGGAGUCAGACUGUGGGUGAUAAGAUUCAUAGUCAAAAGGGCAACAGCCCAGAUCGUCAGCUAAGGUCCCUAAAUGUACGUUAAGUGGUAAAGGAUGUGGGAUUGCACAGACAACCAGGAUGUUGGCUUAGAAGCAGCCACUCAUUUAAAGAGUGCGUAAUAGCUCACUGGUCGAGUGAUCCUGCGCCGAAAAUUUCCGGGGCUAAAACGUACUACCGAAGCUACGGCAUCAUUUAUGAUGGGUAGGGGAGCUUCGUAUGCAGGCUGAAGCAUGACCGUAAGGACAUGUGGACAGUAUACGAGUGAGAAUGUUGGCAUGAGUAGCGAGACGUGGGUGAGAAUCCCACGGGCCGUAAACCCAAGGUUUCCAGGGGAAGGUUCGUCCGCCCUGGGUUAGUCGGGACCUAAGCCGAGGCCGAAAGGCGUAGGUGAUGGACAACAGGUUGAUAUUCCUGUACCGCCAAUAAGCGUUUGAGAGAUGGAGUGACACAGUAGGAUAAGCUAACCGUACUGUUGGUUAUGUACGGCUAAGCAUUGAGGCAGUCUAAAUAGGCAAAUCCGUUUAGACAAUGCUAGGAUGUGAUGGGGAAGCCCUUCGGGGCGAAGUAGCUGAUUUCACACUGUCAAGAAAAGCUUCUAUCGAGUUUAAAGGCGCCCGUACCGUAAACCGACACAGGUGGGUGAGGAGAGUAUCCUAAGGCCAGCGAGAGAACUAUUGUUAAGGAACUCGGCAAAAUGACCCCGUAACUUAGGGAGAAGGGGUGCCUGUCUAUGACAGGCCGCAGAGAAUAGGCCCAAGCGACUGUUUACCAAAAACACAGGUUUCUGCUAAGUCGCAAGACGAUGUAUAGGAGCUGACGCCUGCCCGGUGCUGGAAGGUUAAGGGGAUCUGUUAGAGCAAUCGAAGCAGUGAACUUAAGCCCCAGUAAACGGCGGCCGUAACUAUAACGGUCCUAAGGUAGCGAAAUUCCUUGUCGGGUAAGUUCC
RNAcentral lists this ribosomal RNA (1400 nucleotides) under human gut metagenome. Its description in RNAcentral is "bacterial LSU rRNA". It matches the Rfam family "Bacterial large subunit ribosomal RNA", at positions 566 to 1984 of the family's 2925-position model. The record is from RNAcentral.